This 253-nucleotide ribosomal RNA is filed under the name uncultured bacterium. Its description in RNAcentral is "partial 16S ribosomal RNA". It matches the Rfam family "Bacterial small subunit ribosomal RNA", at positions 524 to 776 of the family's 1533-position model. The record is from RNAcentral.
UACGUAGGGUGCUAGCGUUGUCCGGAUUUAUUGGGCGUAAAGAGCUCGUAGGCGGCUUGUUGCGUCGACUGUGAAAACCCGCGGCUUAACUGCGGGCUUGCAGUUGAUACGGGCAGGCUAGAGUUCGGUAGGGGAGACUGGAAUUCCUGGUGUAGCGGUGAAAUGCGCAGAUAUCAGGAGGAACACCGGUGGCGAAGGCGGGUCUCUGGGCCGAUACUGACGCUGAGGAGCGAAAGCGUGGGGAGCGAACAGG